AUCUUUGCGCUUGGGGCAAUGACAUAGCUAAUGAGGUUUUAAACGAGACGCGUCUAUUGAUGGUUGACAACCAUUUCCACAACCCCAUCCUAGGCCUAAGCUUGUCUUUGGCCUUUGAGAAUUUCGAGACCAACACUAGAGUA
Arabidopsis thaliana (thale cress) is the source of this 143-nucleotide small nuclear RNA. It matches the Rfam family "U4 spliceosomal RNA". From Rfam's summary of the family: U4 small nuclear RNA (U4 snRNA) is a component of the major U2-dependent spliceosome. The structure of U4 snRNA from yeast and human has been reported. Lineage: Eukaryota; Viridiplantae; Streptophyta; Magnoliopsida; Brassicales; Brassicaceae. The record is from Rfam.